GGGGAAUAUUGCACAAUGGGGGAAAGCCUGAUGCAGCAACGCCGCGUGGGUGAUGAAGGUUUUCGGAUUGUAAAGCCCUGUCUUUUGGGACGAUAAUGACGGUACCAAAGGAGGAAGCCACGGCUAACUACGUGCCAGCAGCCGCGGUAAUACGUAGGUGGCGAGCGUUGUCCGGAUUUACUGGGCGUAAAGGGUGCGUAGGCGGAUAUUUAAGUGGGAUGUGAAAACCCCGGGCUUAACCCGGGGACUGCAUUUCAAACUGGAUAUCUGGAGUGCAGGAGAGGAAAGCGGAAUUCCUAGUGUAGCGGUGAAAUGCGUAGAGAUUAGGAAGAACACCAGUGGCGAAGGCGGCUUUCUGGACUGUAACUGACGCUGAGGCACGAAAGCGUGGGUAGCAAAC
RNAcentral lists this ribosomal RNA (400 nucleotides) under uncultured bacterium. RNAcentral's name for it is "bacterial SSU rRNA". It matches the Rfam family "Bacterial small subunit ribosomal RNA", at positions 356 to 773 of the family's 1533-position model. The record is from RNAcentral.